CUAAGUAUAGCCAUUAUACAGCGAAACUGCGAAUGGCUCAUUAAAUCAGUUAUCGUUUAUUUGAUAGUACCUUACUACUUGGAUAACCGUGGUAAUUCUAGAGCUAAUACAUGCUAAAAACCCCGACUCACGAAGGGGUGUAUUUAUUAGAUUAAAAACCAAUGCCCUUCGGGGCUCUUUGGUGAUUCAUAAUAACUUUUCGAAUCGCAUGGCCUUGCGCCGGCGAUGGUUCAUUCAAAUUUCUGCCCUAUCAACUUUCGAUGGCAGGGUCUUGGCCUGCCAUGGUUACAACGGGUAACGGAGGGUUAGGGCUCGACCCCGGAGAAGGAGCCUGAGAAACGGCUACUACAUCCAAGGAAGGCAGCAGGCGCGCAAAUUACCCAAUCCCGAUUCGGGGAGGUAGUGACAAUAAAUACUGAUACAGGGCUCUUUUGGGUCUUGUAAUUGGAAUGAGUACAAUUUAAAUCCCUUAACGAGGAACAAUUGGAGGGCAAGUCUGGUGCCAGCAGCCGCGGUAAUUCCAGCUCCAAUAGCGUAUAUUAAAGUUGUUGCAGUUAAAAAGCUCGUAGUUGAACCUUGGGCCUGGCUGGCCGGUCCGCCUCACCGCGUGCACUGGUUCGGCCGGGCCUUUCCCUCUGGGGAACCUCAUGGUCUUCACUGAUCGUGAUGGGGAACCAGGACUUUUACUGUGAAAAAAUUAGAGUGUUCAAAGCAGGCCUAUGCUCGAAUACAUUAGCAUGGAAUAAUAAAAUAGGACGUGUGGUUCUAUUUUGUUGGUUUCUAGGACCGCCGUAAUGAUUAAUAGGGACAGUCGGGGGCAUCAGUAUUCAAUUGUCAGAGGUGAAAUUCUUGGAUUUAUUGAAGACUAACUACUGCGAAAGCAUUUGCCAAGGAUGUUUUCAUUAAUCAGGAACGAAAGUUAGGGGAUCGAAGACGAUCAGAUACCGUCGUAGUCUUAACCAUAAACUAUGCCGACUAGGGAUCGGACGGUGUUACUUAUUGACCCGUUCGGCACCUUACGAGAAAUCAAAGUCUUUGGGUUCU
RNAcentral lists this ribosomal RNA (1044 nucleotides) under Pestalotiopsis thailandica. RNAcentral describes it as "SSU rRNA". It matches the Rfam family "Eukaryotic small subunit ribosomal RNA", at positions 59 to 1115 of the family's 1831-position model. Lineage: Eukaryota; Fungi; Ascomycota; Sordariomycetes; Amphisphaeriales; Sporocadaceae. The record is from RNAcentral.